This 222-nucleotide unclassified non-coding RNA is filed under the name fungal sp. RNAcentral describes it as "partial internal transcribed spacer region". The stretch from base 1 to 46 matches the Rfam family "Eukaryotic small subunit ribosomal RNA", at positions 1786 to 1831 of the family's 1831-position model. The record is from RNAcentral. Lineage: Eukaryota; Fungi.
AAGUCGUAACAAGGUUUCCGUAGGUGAACCUGCGGAAGGAUCAUUAUAAAAUUUUUCUUGCAUAUUUUUUUAAAAUGUGUAAAAAAAAAUCUUGUAUUCAAAACCCACACUCUUUAAAACCAUAAUAAAAAAAUUUUUAUGUUUAUAUACAUGAAAUUUUUUUAUUUAAAAAUAAUAUAUAUAAUAAAAAGACAACUUUCAACAACGGAUCUCUUGGCUCUC